This 77-nucleotide transfer RNA is filed under the name Salmo salar (Atlantic salmon). It matches the Rfam family "tRNA", at positions 8 to 63 of the family's 71-position model. Rfam says of the family: Transfer RNA (tRNA) molecules are approximately 80 nucleotides in length. Their secondary structure includes four short double-helical elements and three loops (D, anti-codon, and T loops). The record is from Rfam by way of RNAcentral. Lineage: Eukaryota; Metazoa; Chordata; Actinopteri; Salmoniformes; Salmonidae.
UGGCUCAGUUGGCAGAGCAUGGUGUUUACAACGCCAGCAUGGUGGUGCAACGCCAGGGUUGUGGGUUCGAUUCCCAC